This 3354-nucleotide small RNA is filed under the name Drosophila ananassae. Its description in RNAcentral is "GF27083". Lineage: Eukaryota; Metazoa; Arthropoda; Insecta; Diptera; Drosophilidae. The record is from RNAcentral.
UGAAAAAAGUUAAAAAUAGUACAAGAAAUUUUCCAUAAUUCCUGGCCAGAAAUAAGUUAUUAGUACAAACAAAAAUGUAUCAAAAGUGUGAUAAUCGUGUUGCGGAAGCUGAGAAGCGGAAGCAGAUUGGCACAGUGGCCGAGGGUCCCACGUAGUAUUUCUCCACGUUCAUCGACGUUUGGAAACAAAGAAACCAGUCCCCCAGUGGAAAAAUCAGGCGAAUUAGUCAUCGAUUUUGCUCGUCAGCGUCGAGGAGUUUCACAAUGUGAAAAAGGCAGUUUUGCAGUCUCUCGAGGUUGGCUAGGCAGAUCCAGGAUGUCCAGGACCACGACAAUCUCCCCCCUAAGUCGCAUGGCGAUGGCCCUGACCUACGGUGUUCGAGGAUUUGAAGUGUUGGGAUAGGAAGGAAGCCAGGUAGGAAAUGUAACAAAUAUAGGUAGGAGGUGGAGCAAUGACGUCCAACUAAGCGCCUCUAUAAAAACUGGAAAAAUUAUGGAUAUGAAAUUAUUAUAAUAAUAAGCACUUACACACAUCAUACGUUAUGCAAGUAUUGAUCUCCUUUUAACGACAUUUUCGAAUGUAUUGGUAUAUGUACUUCUAUUCCCGUCCCAAACCCUCCCCUCGCUCCCCAUCGACUUGAAUUGACGGAUUUUUUACCACGUACUUUUACAAACAAACGUACGGAAACUCUCGUAUGCUAAACAAAUUGAAAAUCUAAUGAAAUAUAUUAUUAUACCAGCUAUAUUACAUCAGCUAAACUGCAGUUUUGAUGCAAACUCAUCUGGGUAAUUACGAAAGUAUAACUAUGUAUUCAAUAUUUUUAUCUUAUGGCGAAUUUUUUAAUGAAGAGUUCAACAUUCUAUUCGUAUUUGGACAAACCCCUAGAUUUGUAAAAAAAAAAGUUUUCCCGCUUUGAUGGAAUGGCUUAAACCCCGAAAUGUUUCCACAAUUUUCUUUAUUCUAUGGAAACCCAACUGUAUUUUCAAAAGUGUGCCUAUCUUCUAUUGCACGGCUGUUUAAUCUACUGGUUAAGAAUAUGUACAUGGUGUAUGUACAACAUGUAAUGUUGUUGUUGUAUCUUAGUAGUUUUCUAAAUGUGUGCUUUUGGUUUGGGAAAAAUCUGUUUAUCUGUAAAAUUAAUCCAAACCUAUACGUACUUUACUUCGAGGAAUACACAAUAAAACAAACAAUCAUAUUGAUAUUAAGAAUGCCGAAAUAGGACACCAAAUCAAUCAAUAUUUGUAAGGAAUCUACUACCAAUUACAUUCAUUUAAAAUUUUACAAGGAAUUUGGGUAAAUCUGAUUUAUGAACGAAAGGAAACUAUUUAAAUGAAUUUCAAAACAGUCUGAAUUUCUACAUUAAAACUAAGGCGCUUCAAAUGUAUGUAUGCACCGAUUGGAAAUCACCGGAACACCACAUCAUUAAAAUGACAACAUAUUCACUUAUUACCAAUAAUUUAGUUCAUAUUUCUUCGUUUUCUGAAUUUUUUGCUAUUUCAAUAGCUAUGAAAUGUUACCGCAUGAGAUGUAUGCUCCAAAGUAAACAUUUUAUAUGAUUCUGUUCCAGUAUCAUUUUUGUGCGAUUAUUCAAAUUGGUUGUUGCUAAUUUAAUUGAAACAAUUUGGAAUAUUUGUUAAAACACAACAGAAAAAAUGUCUAUGUCAUCAUCCUUCGGUUAUCUGGAAUUUUUGCAUUAGUUAUAUAAUUUAUUGAGUCAACUUUCUUAAUUCAUCCGUCUACAAAAUAUUUUCCCCGGUGAAUUGGUAUAAACUAAAGUAAAAAUAAUAGAUUUAUCAAUCAGCUCCUUCCAUCUGUAAAUCAAAUAAUUUAUAUUACCCUUUGGAAAAAUAAAGGAAUUAUUUGAAACAGUAAACAAAUAUAAGCAGCGCUUAUGUAAAAACAUUAAAUAUAUAACAUAAACUAAAGUAACAAAUACAGCUUGAGCUAAUAUUGCUUAUUUGAGAAUACCAAAUUAUUUAAAUUGGACGUAUAAGAUUAUGCAAACCAAAAAAUAUUUAUCUACGAAAAGUAUAUUCCUUCGAAUACCCAACAUUCCAAACAAUACAAUUUAUUUAUUCCCCUAAUAAGAAUUGUUUUUGUUUUAACAAAAAAUGCCUUAAUUAUAGUUACACCUAACAAUUGGAAAACAUAAGCCUAAUAUUAUACUUCUUUCUAAUCAUUUUCUCAACUGGAUUAUUCGUUUGAUUCUUUUCUGUAACUAUUGGACACUGUGUCCCAUCGAGGAAACGACGCAUUAUAUUAAAAAGACCCAUUGUUUUUAUGUUCUUUUUAAAAUGUAUACGAUUCAAUCACUAUGAAUGUAUGAGGAUUGCGUGAAGAAUGUUAUUCCUAAAGUUCCCGAAAUGUCCAGGAUCAUAUCCUGGAAAAACUUUGCACUAAACUUUAUUUCCUAUUAAAAUUAAAACCCACAUCGAUGUUCUCCCAAAAUAAUGUGACGUUAUGGAUCGAAUGAAAAUAUUACUUCAGCAUAAGUAAGAAAUAUAUUAUUGUAUGCUUUUGAUAUGCGAGAACUGAUUUAAUUUCCACGUUGAAAAUGUAUUGACUGAUAUUUGGAAAGGUGUUGCACGAGACUUUUAAUUUGAAUCAUUAAGCGUGUUUUUGCUAUGACAGUGGAUUUUUAUUUUGUGAGUGACAUUUUGAAAUACAUUUUUUUAAUAUUACAGAGUAAUUAGUAAAUUUUUCAUAAUCAAUACGAAGCAAAUCCUUUUAAUUAUGGAUAAUUUGGAUGUAUAAUAAAAUGAAACAUUAUAAAUCAAGUCACAUUUAAUACACAUUUUGCAUGUUCUGUUCAAAAAACAAUGCUUUCCAAAAAAAAAAGUGAACUUCUAUACCUGGAAGUAUAUUUUAAGGAAGCAAAACCUGGAUGGAAUAUUUUAGACAAAAUGAUGGACAUUGUCUCAUUGGCUAAAAUCCAUGUGGAAAGCGUAAUUUACAUUUACGUAAAGAUACGUAAUUUGGUAAUUAACCCAUAUAGUUACUAUUUUAAUAAUGGAUGGUAUAAAUAAAUGGUAUAGGUGGGAAAUUAACUUAAAUUCAUGAUUUUAAUAAGUAAAGGUAAAUUAUUGACCGAUUUUAUAAUUUGUUGGUUUAAUAGAGUCAAAUGACCAAAAAGGUCAGUUGACUAUUUUGAUUGGUCAAAACCCAUCUGCGGAAUUUAUGUUCAAUAAAACCGUGGACUGAAAUUAAAACUUUCCAGCUUUACGUCCCUCUCUACAUUAAUAUUAUCAUGGAAAAGCAUCAGUUUUUUCGGGUGAGGUUAUACUGAUGCUUAGUCAUUUCAAUUGCCCAAAAUAAUUGAAUUUUAAUUGGUAUUUUUCAAUACCCAAGACUAAC